CCAAAGGCUCUUUUCAGAGCCACUUCCCGUUUUCACUGAGAGUGGCU
This is a non-coding RNA of Mustela putorius furo (domestic ferret), 47 nucleotides long. The record is from Rfam. Lineage: Eukaryota; Metazoa; Chordata; Mammalia; Carnivora; Mustelidae.